GACGAACGCUGGCGGCGUGCUUAACACAUGCAAGUCGAACGGAAAGGCCCUGCUUUUGUGGGGUGCUCGAGUGGCGAACGGGUGAGUAACACGUGAGUAACCUGCCCUUGACUUUGGGAUAACUUCAGGAAACUGGGGCUAAUACCGGAUAGGAGCUCCUGCUGCAUUGUGGGGGUUGGAAAGUUUCGGCGGUUGGGGAUGGACUCGCGGCUUAUCAGUUUGUUGGUGGGGUAGUGGCGUACCAAGGCUUUGACGGGUAGCCGGCCUGAGAGGGUGACCGGCCACAUUGGGACUGAGAUACGGCCCAGACUCCUACGGGAGGCAGCAGUGGGGAAUAUUGCACAAUGAGCGGAAGCCUGAUGCAGCAACGCCGCGUGCGGGAUGACGGCCUUCGGGUUGUAAACCGCUUUCGCCUGUGACGAAGCGUGAGUGACGGUAAUGGGUAAAGAAGCACCGGCUAACUACGUG
This 468-nucleotide ribosomal RNA is filed under the name uncultured bacterium. Its description in RNAcentral is "partial 16S ribosomal RNA". It matches the Rfam family "Bacterial small subunit ribosomal RNA", at positions 28 to 507 of the family's 1533-position model. The record is from RNAcentral.